AGACUACGAUAGGUAGGGGCCCUGAUAGGGGGAUCCCCCACACUGGUACUGAGACACGGACCAGACUCCUACGGGAGGCAGCAGUGAGGAAUAUUGGACAAUGGGCGAAAGCCUGAUCCAGCCAUGCCGCGUGCAGGAAGACGGUCCUAUGGAUUGUAAACUGCUUUUAUUCAAGAAUAAACCCCCAGUCGUGUAUUGGGGCUGAAGGUACUGAAUGAAUAAGCACCGGCUAACUCCGUGCCAGCAGCCGCGGUAAUACGGAGGGUCCGAGCGUUAUCCGGAAUCAUUGGGUUUAAAGGGUCCG
This 304-nucleotide ribosomal RNA is filed under the name Alexandrium margalefii. RNAcentral's name for it is "partial Bacterial small subunit ribosomal RNA". It matches the Rfam family "Bacterial small subunit ribosomal RNA", at positions 271 to 571 of the family's 1533-position model. The record is from RNAcentral. Lineage: Eukaryota; Dinophyceae; Gonyaulacales; Pyrocystaceae.